AUAAUUGUCAUAGUGGUGUAGUAUUCUAGUCAGUAUUCUAUAUCAUGAAGGCGGGGCUAAAAAUCCGCCAAAGAGCGUAUCGAUGAAGUUCUUGAUUUGUGCUUGUGACGCCCAGUCAUGGGCAUUCUUUGAGAGUAAGGCAGAUGGGGCGAUCUACAACGGCAUGUAGGCGUUGACCCUGCUGUCGCGGAGGCGUAAGAUUAUCUUAUGUAGACCUAUUUUUUUAAAUAGUGUAGCUUGCCUUGAGUGAUCUAGUGCGGAUGAUAAGGUCUUUUUAUUGAACUUGUGGCCAAAGAUCAAUAAAAAAAGUUAUCGAAACCUAAAUUGCAAAAGAGGCUAAGGAUAUAAAAUACUGUUUGGGAAAACUUCUAGACUAAAUCGUAAGAUGACUAAAAAGGGAUUACAGUGCGGACUAAGUGGCAAUCCAGUAUUAUAUUUGGCGACAAUAUAAUUACUAAAUUAAUGGGAAACCGCUAUGAUUGGUGACAUAUAGCCUUAGUAAGGGAAAACCAACUGGACCUAAGCCGUAAUAUUUACUUUUUUAGUUUCCACUAAGCUG
RNAcentral lists this small RNA (559 nucleotides) under uncultured Fenollaria sp. The record is from RNAcentral. Lineage: Bacteria; Bacillati; Bacillota; Clostridia; Eubacteriales.